CCGUACAUCGGCGAUGAUGUCCGCCGCACCGCCGGAACGCGGUGAAACCGUCCGCGGGGACUGAUGACCUCUACCGAAGA
This 80-nucleotide non-coding RNA is filed under the name Elusimicrobiota bacterium. RNAcentral describes it as "Elusimicrobia bacterium Fluoride sequence". It matches the Rfam family "Fluoride riboswitch aptamer (crcB RNA motif)". The record is from RNAcentral. Lineage: Bacteria; Pseudomonadati; Elusimicrobiota.